GCAAUGGUGGUUCAGUUGUAGAACUCUCACCUGCCAUGUAGGAGACCCGGGUUUGAUUCCUGGCCAAUGCA
RNAcentral lists this transfer RNA (71 nucleotides) under Loxodonta africana (African savanna elephant). It matches the Rfam family "tRNA". Rfam says of the family: Transfer RNA (tRNA) molecules are approximately 80 nucleotides in length. Their secondary structure includes four short double-helical elements and three loops (D, anti-codon, and T loops). Lineage: Eukaryota; Metazoa; Chordata; Mammalia; Proboscidea; Elephantidae. The record is from Rfam by way of RNAcentral.